Oncorhynchus keta (chum salmon) is the source of this 220-nucleotide long non-coding RNA. RefSeq lists it as uncharacterized. The transcript has 3 exons. NCBI's taxonomy places the organism in Eukaryota, Metazoa, Chordata, Actinopteri, Salmoniformes, Salmonidae. The record is from RefSeq and is a predicted model, not a curated record.
CCUGAGCCACGGCCUGUUCACCCCGCUACCAUCUAGAAGGUCAUCAAGGACCUCAGCCACCUGAGCCACGGCCUGUUCACCCCUCUACCAUCUAGAAGGUCAUUAAGGACCUCAGCCACCUGAGCCACGGCCUGUUCACCCCGCUACCAUCUAGAAGGUCAUUAAGGACCUCAGCCACCUGAACCACGUCCUGUUCACCCCGCUACCAUCUAGAAGAUCA